Molecule: ribosomal RNA, 464 nt
Filed under: Vreelandella stevensii
Lineage: Bacteria; Pseudomonadati; Pseudomonadota; Gammaproteobacteria; Oceanospirillales; Halomonadaceae
Description: partial 16S ribosomal RNA
Rfam family: Bacterial small subunit ribosomal RNA
Source: RNAcentral
CCUACGGGGGCUGCAGUGGGGAAUAUUGGACAAUGGGGGGAACCCUGAUCCAGCCAUGCCGCGUGUGUGAAGAAGGCCCUCGGGUUGUAAAGCACUUUCAGUGAGGAAGAACGCCUGGUGGUGAAUACCCAUCAGGAAAGACAUCACUCACAGAAGAAGCACCGGCUAACUCCGUGCCAGCAGCCGCGGUAAUACGGAGGGUGCGAGCGUUAAUCGGAAUUACUGGGCGUAAAGCGCGCGUAGGUGGCUUGAUAAGCCGGUUGUGAAAGCCCCGGGCUCAACCUGGGAACGGCAUCCGGAACUGUCAAGCUAGAGUGCAGGAGAGGAAGGUAGAAUUCCCGGUGUAGCGGUGAAAUGCGUAGAGAUCGGGAGGAAUACCAGUGGCGAAGGCGGCCUUCUGGACUGACACUGACACUGAGGUGCGAAAGCGUGGGUAGCAAACAGGAUUAGAUACCCUAGUAGUC